RNAcentral lists this non-coding RNA (29 nucleotides) under Rattus norvegicus (Norway rat). Lineage: Eukaryota; Metazoa; Chordata; Mammalia; Rodentia; Muridae. The record is from RNAcentral.
UGACAAGCAAUUUUUAUAUAAUUGUUACU